Molecule: non-coding RNA, 182 nt
Filed under: Desulfuromonas sp.
Lineage: Bacteria; Pseudomonadati; Thermodesulfobacteriota; Desulfuromonadia; Desulfuromonadales; Desulfuromonadaceae
Description: 6S RNA
Rfam family: 6S / SsrS RNA
About the family: E. coli 6S RNA was the first non coding RNA to be sequenced, but its function was unknown until recently. It consists of 184 nucleotides that fold into an extended hairpin structure with a large single-stranded internal bulge. The 6S RNA specifically associates with RNA polymerase holoenzyme containing the sigma70 specificity factor.
Source: RNAcentral
ACAGAUCUGGGAUGUACGAGCGGAUUUCAGGAGCGUGGCCAACACCGUUAAGAGAUCAAACCUCUUGUCACUGUGUGGUGAGCAAGCCCACCCCUGAGUGGGACGCCUGAAACACAUUGCGGGGUCGAGCAAAACAGUUCUUGGCUUCGUCCGUUGAAACCGUUCGGCAUCCCGGAUGUGCA